GGUGAAGAACGUAGCGAAAUGCGAUAAGUAGUGUGAAUUGCAGAAUUCAGUGAAUCAUCGAAUCUUUGAACGCACAUUGCGCCCCUUGGUAUUCCAUGGGGCAUGCCUGUUCGAGCGUCAUUUACACCCUCAGGCUCCGCUUGGUGUUGGGCGUCUGUCCCGCUUCGUGCGCGGACUCGCCCCAAAGGCAUUGGCAGCGGUCCUUGCCAGCUUCUCGCGCAGCACAUUGCGCUUCUCGAGGCUGGCGGAUCGGCGUCCAUCAAGCCCACUUCCACAGUUUGACCUCGGAUCAGGUAGGGAUACCCGCUGAACUUAAGCAUAUCAAUAAGCGGAGGA
Molecule: unclassified non-coding RNA, 336 nt
Filed under: soil metagenome
Description: partial contains 5.8S ribosomal RNA, internal transcribed spacer 2, and large subunit ribosomal RNA
Rfam family: 5.8S ribosomal RNA (bases 3-120)
Source: RNAcentral